Molecule: ribosomal RNA, 253 nt
Filed under: uncultured bacterium
Lineage: Bacteria
Description: partial 16S ribosomal RNA
Rfam family: Bacterial small subunit ribosomal RNA
Source: RNAcentral
UACGAAGGGGGCUAGCGUUGCUCGGAAUCACUGGGCGUAAAGGGUGCGUAGGCGGGUCUUUAAGUCAGGGGUGAAAUCCUGGAGCUCAACUCCAGAACUGCCUUUGAUACUGAGGAUCUUGAGUUCGGGAGAGGUGAGUGGAACUGCGAGUGUAGAGGUGAAAUUCGUAGAUAUUCGCAAGAACACCAGUGGCGAAGGCGGCUCACUGGCCCGAUACUGACGCUGAGGAGCGAAAGCCAGGGGAGCAAACGGG